This 253-nucleotide ribosomal RNA is filed under the name uncultured bacterium. RNAcentral's name for it is "partial 16S ribosomal RNA". It matches the Rfam family "Bacterial small subunit ribosomal RNA", at positions 524 to 776 of the family's 1533-position model. The record is from RNAcentral.
UACGUAGGGUGCAAGCGUUACUCGGAAUUAUUGGGCGUAAAGCGCAUGUAGGCGGCUUUAUAAGUCUGAUGUGAAAUCCCUGGACUCAAUUCAGGAACUGCAUUGGAUACUGUAAGGCUAGAGUAGAGGAGAGGUAGGCGGAAUUCCUGGUGUAGAGGUGAAAUUCGUAGAUAUUCGCAAGAACACCAGUGGCGAAGGCGGCUCACUGGCCCGGUACUGACGCUGAGGUGCGAAAGCGUGGGGAGCAAACAGG